Molecule: non-coding RNA, 307 nt
Organism: Paramuricea clavata
Lineage: Eukaryota; Metazoa; Cnidaria; Anthozoa; Malacalcyonacea; Plexauridae
Source: the annotation of a GenBank genome assembly
UAUAGUUUUUCGUUUUACCUCAAAAAAAACCACAACAGUCUGUUUCAUCCGUAUAGGAAUCAUCAGCUGAUGAUUUUCCGAAAAAUAUUUUUAAAAAAAGAUUUUGAAAAGUUUUAAAAGAGUUUUAAAAAGCAAAAAAAGUUCAAAAAGUUAGAUUUUCAAAAAAGUUAAAAAAAAGUUUAAAAAAUUAGGGUUAGAGGUUAGUGGUUAGGAGUUAGUGGUUAGAGGUUAGUAGUUAUGGGUUAGUGGUUAGGGGUUAGUAGUUAGGGGUUAGUGGUUAGGGGUUAGUGGUUAGGGUUGGGGUUAG